UUGAGAUCUCACGCGGAAACU
RNAcentral lists this non-coding RNA (21 nucleotides) under Caenorhabditis elegans. Lineage: Eukaryota; Metazoa; Nematoda; Chromadorea; Rhabditida; Rhabditidae. The record is from RNAcentral.